This 361-nucleotide long non-coding RNA is filed under the name Capsicum annuum. RNAcentral describes it as "long non-coding RNA (CANN_LNC020074)". The record is from RNAcentral. Lineage: Eukaryota; Viridiplantae; Streptophyta; Magnoliopsida; Solanales; Solanaceae.
AUUGUUUUUCCUGUUUUAAAAAAGCAAAUUAAGCAAAAAGUGAAGACUAUUUGAUGUUGAUAUUUUGAAUGAUAUAUUUUAGAAGACACAAAAUACUAUGAGAUAGAUUUUGGGAAUAAAGGAAAGAAAUUACCGAUCUUUUACCAACUUGAAUGCCAACUAAUCGAAUUCCAAUUGAGGUAACAUAUGCUGAAAUUUUAAAAGUUGUUUUGAUGGAUUUCUAAAGAGCAUUGAAACUUCGAAGGAUGGGAUACAUGAAAGGGAAAAGAAACACUUUUUUCAAGGAGGAGAGAUGAAAAAUAGUAGCAUUCAGAAUUAUCGUCGAAGCAAUGAUUUUGCAUAUUAAUAUGUCACUAACCCU